GAUGAACGCUGGCGGCGUGCCUAAUACAUGCAAGUCGAGCGAACGGACGAGGAGCUUGCUUCUCUGAUGUUAGCGGCGGACGGGUGAGUAACACGUGGAUAACCUACCUAUAAGACUGGGAUAACUUCGGGAAACCGUAGCUAAUACCGGAUAAUAUUUUGAACCGCAUGGUUCAAAAGUGAAAGACGGUCUUGCUGUCACUUAUAGAUGGAUCCGGGCUGCAUUAGAUAGUUGGUAAGGUAACGGCUUACCAAGGCAACGAUGCAUAGCCGACCUGAGAGGGUGGUCGGCCACCUGGGAACUGAGACACGGUCCAGACUCCUACGGGAGGCAGCAGUAGUGAAUCUGCCGCAAUGGGCGAAAGCCUGACGGAGCAACGGCGCGUGAGUGAUGACGGUCUUCGGAUCGUAAAACUCUGUUAUUAGGGAAGAACAGAUGUGUAAGUAACUGUGCACAUCUUGACGGUACCUAAUAAGAAAGCCACGGCUAACUACGUG
Molecule: ribosomal RNA, 497 nt
Filed under: uncultured bacterium
Lineage: Bacteria
Description: partial 16S ribosomal RNA
Rfam family: Bacterial small subunit ribosomal RNA
Source: RNAcentral